RNAcentral lists this transfer RNA (72 nucleotides) under Chloroflexota bacterium. RNAcentral's name for it is "tRNA-Thr". It matches the Rfam family "tRNA". Rfam says of the family: Transfer RNA (tRNA) molecules are approximately 80 nucleotides in length. Their secondary structure includes four short double-helical elements and three loops (D, anti-codon, and T loops). Lineage: Bacteria; Bacillati; Chloroflexota. The record is from RNAcentral.
GCCUCAGUAGCUCAGUGGUAGAGCGUACCCUUGGUAAGGGUAAGGUCAUGGGUUCAAUCCCCAUCUGAGGCU